GACGAACGCUGGCGGCGUGCUUAACACAUGCAAGUCGAACGGUGAAGGCGGGAGCUUGCGGCCUGCGCGACUGGCGAACACGGGAGAAACACGUGAGUGCACUCCGCUUGGAAUUGGGAGAUAAUCGUGGGAAUCGACGUAUUAUACCGUAUAAGACGCGGCUGCGCGUUGGGGCUGGGAAGAAUGAGGUGGUUGGGGAUGUGCUCGCGGCGUAUCAGCUUGUUGGUGUGGUAGCGGCUCACCAAGGCUUUGACGGGUAGCCGGCCUGAGAGGGUGACCGGCCACACUGGGACUGAGACACGGCCCAGACUCCUACGGGAGGCAGCAGUGGGGAAUAUUGCACAAUGGGCGGAAGCCUGAUGCAGCAACGCCGCGUGCGGGACGACGGCCUUCGGGUUGUAAACCGCUUUUGGCUGUGAAGAAGCGUGAGUGACGGUACCUGCAGAAGAAGCACCGGCUAACUACGUG
Molecule: ribosomal RNA, 468 nt
Filed under: uncultured bacterium
Lineage: Bacteria
Description: partial 16S ribosomal RNA
Rfam family: Bacterial small subunit ribosomal RNA
Source: RNAcentral